RNAcentral lists this ribosomal RNA (425 nucleotides) under uncultured bacterium. RNAcentral's name for it is "bacterial SSU rRNA". It matches the Rfam family "Bacterial small subunit ribosomal RNA", at positions 355 to 796 of the family's 1533-position model. The record is from RNAcentral.
UAGGGAAUUUUCCACAAUGGGGGCAACCCUGAUGGAGCGACGCCGCGUGCAGGAUGAAUGCCUUCGGGUUGUAAACUGCUUUUAUCUGUGACGAAUAUGACGGUAGCAGAUGAAUAAGGAUCGGCUAACUCCGUGCCAGCAGCCGCGGUCAUACGGAGGAUCCAAGCGUUAUCCGGAAUAACUGGGCGUAAAGCGUUGCGUAGGCGGUACAGUAAGCGGAAUGUGAAAUCGUGUGGCUCAACCAUGCGGCUAUGCUCUGAACUGCUGAACUUGAGAAUGAGAGAGGUUACUGGAAUUUCUAGUGUAGGAGUGAAAUCCGUAGAUAUUAGAAGGAACACCGAUGGCGUAGGCAGGUAACUGGCUCAUUUCUGACGCUCAGGCACGAAAGCGUGGGGAGCAAACGGGAUUAGAUACCCCCGUAGUCC